GACGAACGCUGGCGGCGUGCUUAACACAUGCAAGUCGAACGGUGAAGCGCCUUCCUUUUUGGUGGGUGUGGAUGAGUGGCGAACGGGUGAGUAACACGUGAGUAACCUGCCCCCUUCUUCUGGAUAACCGCAUGAAAGUGUGGCUAAUACGGGAUAUUCUGGGUCUGUCGCAUGAUGGGUCUGGGAAAGAUAUUGUUUCGGUGGGGGAUGGGCUCGCGGCCUAUCAGCUUGUUGGUGGGGUGAUGGCCUACCAAGGCGGUGACGGGUAGCCGGCCUGAGAGGGUGGACGGUCACACUGGGACUGAGACACGGCCCAGACUCCUACGGGAGGCAGCAGUGGGGAAUAUUGAACAAUGGGCGCAAGCCUGAUGCAGCGACGCCGCGUGAGGGAUGGAGGCCUUCGGGUUGUGAACCUCUUUCGCCAGUGAAGCAGGCCUGCCUCGUUUGUGGGUGGGUUGACGGUAGCUGGAUAAGAAGCGCCAGCUAACUACGUG
RNAcentral lists this ribosomal RNA (494 nucleotides) under uncultured bacterium. RNAcentral describes it as "partial 16S ribosomal RNA". It matches the Rfam family "Bacterial small subunit ribosomal RNA", at positions 28 to 507 of the family's 1533-position model. The record is from RNAcentral.